UACGUAGGCAGCGAGCGUUGUUCGGAGUUACUGGGCGUAAAGGGUGUGUAGGCGGUUGUUUAAGUUUGGGGUGAAAUCUCCCGGCUCAACUGGGAGGGUGCGCCGAAUACUGAAUGACUUCGAGUGCGGGAGAGGAGAGUGGAAUUCCUGGUGUAGCGGUGAAAUGCGCAGAUAUCGGGAAGAACACCUAUGGCGAAGACAGCUCUCUGGGACGGUACUGGCGCUGAGACGCGAAAGCGUGGGGAGCGAACAGG
Molecule: ribosomal RNA, 254 nt
Filed under: uncultured bacterium
Lineage: Bacteria
Description: partial 16S ribosomal RNA
Rfam family: Bacterial small subunit ribosomal RNA
Source: RNAcentral